GGCUCCGGCAGCAGCGCCGGACAGGCGGGAGGCUCCGGCAGCAGUGCCGGACAGGCGGGAGACUCCGGCAGCAGCGCCGGACAGGCGGGACCACCUGCAGGGAGGAGACAGAGAGACAGCCUGGUGCGUGGGGCUGCCACAGGAACCACCAGGCUGGGGAGACCUUCAGGAGGCUUGAGUAGUUGUCCAGCCUGGGGAAGUGGUGCCAAGGUUGCGCACCAGAGCUCCAGUGCUCCCCCACAGCCCGGUCCUUCAGGUGCCUCCUAACACCAAG
Long non-coding RNA from Oncorhynchus tshawytscha (Chinook salmon), 274 nucleotides. NCBI's taxonomy places the organism in Eukaryota, Metazoa, Chordata, Actinopteri, Salmoniformes, Salmonidae. The record is from Ensembl.